Molecule: ribosomal RNA, 458 nt
Filed under: uncultured bacterium
Lineage: Bacteria
Description: partial 16S ribosomal RNA
Rfam family: Bacterial small subunit ribosomal RNA
Source: RNAcentral
CCUACGGGAGGCUGCACUAGGGAAUCUUUCACAAUGGGCGAAAGCCUGAUGGAGCAACGCCGCGUGCAGGAUGACGGCCUUCGGGUUGUACACCUCUUUUGUCGGGGAGCAAAGCGAACCACGUGUGGUUCAUUGAGAGUACCCGAAGAAACAGCAUCGGCUAACUACGUGCCAGCAGCCGCGGUAGUACGGAGGAUGCGAGCGUUAUCCGGAUUUAUUGGGUUUAAAGGGUGCGCAGGCGGAGGUGCAAGUCAGCGGUCAAAUUGCGGGGCUCAACCCCGUACUGCCGUUGAAACUGCAUCCCUUGAGUGCGCGAGAAGUAUGCGGAAUGCGUGGUGUAGCGGUGAAAUGCAUAGAUAUCACGCAGAACUCCGAUUGCGAAGGCAGCAUACCGGCGCGCAACUGACGCUCAUGCACGAAAGCGUGGGUAUCGAACAGGAUUAGAUACCCCAGUAGUC